Molecule: ribosomal RNA, 3365 nt
Filed under: Triticum aestivum (bread wheat)
Lineage: Eukaryota; Viridiplantae; Streptophyta; Magnoliopsida; Poales; Poaceae
Description: partial small subunit ribosomal RNA
Source: RNAcentral
UCGCCCCGCGUGUGUUGACGAAUAGGUGUAGCUGGUUUUCCGCCCGCGCUGCCUUGUGCGUGAGCGGCUCCUAGGCAGGGCGAGGGCAAGGGUCGCCUUUGCGUGCGCAGCGACACAACACAACGACACCUUCGCUGCCCGCCUGCCCGCCUGUGUGGCACACCGACGGAGCCGAAGCGGACGUAGACGUACCACACACACUCGAAAGGGACGUGGGUGCCGAGAGGGAGGGAGAGGGGAGAGGAAAUAUUCGAGGGUGGGUUCGAAAGUGAAGUGGAGGUGGUGUUAAGAGUGCCAGAGCGGAGGGAACGCGCGGGGAAGGGAACAAGUAGCCAGCGGAGUGGCGUCAGGUCGUUAGGAGCGAACGACAAAGAGGAAGGUGUGAAAGAAGGAACCACUUCAUCUUCAGCUCGGCCGGCUAGGAUAGGUCUAUAGGUGAGGUUCGAGCAGAGAAGUUAGGUUUCGUUUUGUUUCUAGGUCCUCUUUGCCGGCUGGCCCUGUAGAGGGUUCGAUUUCUUUGGGACGAAGGAAGAAUCGGAGACGAGACAAGAACGGGCACUUGUGGUGCUCAUGGUUCGUGGCUCUUUGAUUCUCUCCUUCCUCCUCCUCCUUCUUCCAAGAGACAUGACUAGCUCUCGCCCCCCAAAACUAGAACCGAUCGCUCUUACGCCGUCUAGAGCAGCUACGACGUCCCCGACCGGGCGAGGUACAGAGACCCCUUCCUCUCCUUCCUCCGCCUCCUCGGCGUCCCCUGCCACGACGCCAGCAGCCCCUGCGAGACCCCGCUCCCGAGGCUCUGGAAGCGGCGCCACACGAGGGCGGCGCCGCUCUUCCCGUGGUUGGUCCUGUGGAGGUAGCAGACCCUCCACUCAAACGGCCGGCGACGAGACGAAGAAGGGACGAACGAGAGACUACGUACACCUACUUAAAAAUGCGACCAAUUACCAAUAGUGUUGUAUAAUGACCACCGCACAUCAGUUUCUAGUUGUUGUGGCGUGCCUCGAAGAACGGUGUGUUAAAUUAAGGGCGCAAGGUUUGUAUUUAAAGACGAUGAGCUCUCCGCCUUAACCAAGAUUUUUAACACCGGUUCUACUCUGCCGCUGUACCAGAGACAAGGUGUCUUUUACCACUCCCAUGUCGCAACCCUGAACCCUGAUCAGCGACCGAAGAAGAAGAGUAAAGACCGGUGUCUUCUUUAUUUAGUCAAAAGUACACGAACGGAACGCACACGUGCGUUAUUUUAUCUCUAACCUAGGGCAGAGGGAGGCAACAAAAUGGAUUGGUAAAAAGACUAUAAAAAUACUCACUCUACCAAGUCAAGCCAAAACACCAUCAUAAGCCAUGUCGGUUUGAUAACAAUCCGGUAAGUGGUCUAAUGCACAACGGAGAACUCUAGUACAACAAGUGUUCAAAGAACCUAUGCCGCGAACGGAAAACGGAGAUCCGCAAAGUAGGACAUCAUGAUCAUAGACGGUUUUUCUCCCUACCAUGCACAGAACUAAACAACCUCGCUUUUUCCACAACCCAAAGAACCAUAGACUUAGGUCUCAACGAAACCUGUCAAUAUUUGUGGAAUUUGUAUGACCAACGCUACCAGUUUAAACGAUAAAAAAGUCUGACGUUUAGGUAAUAUAAAGUAGUUAAAUGCUUUGUACAUUAAUUGGUAAAAAACAACCUAUUUUUUGGCUGUCAUUCAAUAGCCCAAUCUUUAUGCAGUUAGCCGAAUCUUUAUCUGUGAGGGAAUUUGACUUGAUCUAAUCUUUGUGCUCGAAUAAACUGAUAAGUCAAGGCGUUUUUACCUGUUGCUACCGGAUGGUCGUGUUUUUCCUGGCCGACCAAGUCAACGAACAGAGUUAAGCUAGUACAGUGAGGGGCGUUUUCUAUUUUAGAUAGUGCCGUGCGGCUUUAGAACCUAAACAUAAACAGUACGUGUCAUUUAAACGUGGGUAGCAAAGUGAUAGAAGUAAAGGAGAGCUAAAGCUAUUCUUUUCCUCUAAAGUUAUAAAAGCAAAGAAGAGCUAAAGAAUGCCGAGACAAACGAACACACAAGAGAACAGAUAGGUCCCUAUGCCCACGGUCCUGCUGUGGUAGAAGACGCCGCAGAAGCUGCCCGUGCCGGUCACCCCGGUGAUGCAGCGGUUCCGGCAGGCCCUCAGCGACGGCGUCAGCGAAGACACGGUGACCGUCCUUCGGCAGCGCGACUGCAGGGAGUAGCUGCCGCUCUUCUCCGAGUCGCUGACGGUCAAGCUGGAGGACUUCGUCAGGAUGGACCGGCGGCGGCGGCGGCACCUGCUCCUCGAGGCGGCUUCGGCCGCGGAGCUGCGGCAGUUGUCGCCGACGUGCCGAGACAGGUAGCAGUUCGUCCCGCUGGACUACCACCAGCGGUUGCAGCCGCUGAGCGCCCGGCAGGAACGCUGGUGCAGCCUGCUGCCCCUGCAGUGCCGGCAGGUCGAGUGGCAGCUGAAGUUCGGGCUGAAUGGGGUCCUCUUCCGCGCGUAGUGCGUCACGGUCCCGGCGCACGUGACGGAGCUGCUGCUCGGGCCGCACGUGGCCCACACCCACGGGGUGGCCCUCCGCGGCCCCGACCGGUACAGCGCGCGCAAGCCGCUGAUGACGCAGUUCCUGAUGCCGCAGUAGAGCCGCGGCCUCCACUGUGUCUCCUCCUAGUGGCGGGCCCUGGUCAAGCAGUAGGACCGGUGGCUGCCCCAGACCCUGCACGAGAGGUUGCUCCUCCGGCACGCCUAGCACCGCCGGUGCGGCCUGUCCCUCUUCCGCCGCUUCGCCGAGCAGCUCACGCGGCAGGCGCCCACCUCCGCGUUCGCCGCCCCGUAGCGGCAGCUGCUGACGAGCCGCCAGACGGAGAAGAAGGUGUGCGGCCGUGGGACUUGUUCGACGGGGAUCUCCGAUCUGACGCUAACGUAACGGCAGUCCUGCUCCCCUUUCGUUGGGCAGGUGAACGGCCAUCUAGUUAGCCACGCGCCGCAGCGGCAGCCUCUCUCUGAGCAAAGCCUGGUCUUCCACGUCAAGCUCGGUACUAACCCUGCGACGUGCUUACUGGCCCCGCCACCCAGUUGACGACGACCACCUAGUGGUUUUACAGGAGGCCAAAAGUGUGUGACGAACGGUUUUACAUGCUCCUAGUUGCUGCCGGUGAACGUUUCCCGUCUUCCUUGUUCUGCGUGAAACAGUAAUAAAGGCAGAACGUACAGAGAGCAACCGCACUUUUACCGGAUGCUCUCUGAUAAUACUUUUUUUUACAUAACCACAUGUACUACCCUUUUGCAGUGUUAACAACCAUAUGUAGUUACUGGUAUACAGGUAUUUAGUGUGGUUAUCGCACAGGAAGCCCAGGAGCAGCUUUGCUG